Molecule: ribosomal RNA, 730 nt
Filed under: uncultured bacterium
Lineage: Bacteria
Description: bacterial SSU rRNA
Rfam family: Bacterial small subunit ribosomal RNA
Source: RNAcentral
UGCAAGUCGAACGGAGCUUAGAGAGCUUGCUUUUUAAGCUUAGUGGCGAACGGGUGAGUAACGCGUGAGUAACCUGCCCUAGAGUGGGGGACAACAGUUGGAAACGACUGCUAAUACCGCAUAAGCCCACGGUACCGCAUGGUACUGAGGGAGAAGGAUUUAUUCGCUUUAGGAUGGACUCGCGUCCAAUUAGCUAGUUGGUGAGGUAACGGCCCACCAAGGCGACGAUUGGUAGCCGGACUGAGAGGUUGAACGGCCACAUUGGGACUGAGACACGGCCCAGACUCCUACGGGAGGCAGCAGUGGGGGAUAUUGCACAAUGGGGGAAACCCUGAUGCAGCGACGCCGCGUGGAGGAAGAAGGUUUUCGGAUUGUAAACUCCUGUCGUUAGGGACGAUAAUGACGGUACCUAACAAGAAAGCACCGGCUAACUACGUGCCAGCAGCCGCGGUAAAACGUAGGGUGCAAGCGUUGUCCGGAAUUACUGGGUGUAAAGGGAGCGCAGGCGGGAAGACAAGUUGGAAGUGAAAACCAUGGGCUCAACCCAUGAAUUGCUUUCAAAACUGUUUUUCUUGAGUAGUGCAGAGGUAGAUGGAAUUCCCGGUGUAGCGGUGGAAUGCGUAGAUAUCGGGAGGAACACCAGUGGCGAAGGCGGUCUACUGGGCACCAACUGACGCUGAGGCUCGAAAGCAUGGGUAGCAAACAGGAUUAGAUACCCUGGUAGUCCAUG